RNAcentral lists this ribosomal RNA (253 nucleotides) under uncultured bacterium. RNAcentral describes it as "partial 16S ribosomal RNA". It matches the Rfam family "Bacterial small subunit ribosomal RNA", at positions 524 to 776 of the family's 1533-position model. The record is from RNAcentral.
UACGAAGGGGGCAAGCGUUGUUCGGAGUUACUGGGCGUAAAGGGCGCGUAGGCGGCUUUUCAAGUCAGGCGUGAAAGCCCCGGGCUUAACCCGGGAAAUGCGCUUGAGACUGUAAAGCUAGAGAGCGGGAGAGGAUGGUGGAAUUCCCAGUGUAGAGGUGAAAUUCGUAGAUAUUGGGAAGAACACCAGUGGCGAAGGCGGCCAUCUGGUCCGCAUCUGACGCUGAGGCGCGAAAGCGUGGGGAGCAAACAGG